CAGGCUGCCCAUGUUUAUUGGAUCUAGUGAGGUAAAUUUGCGGAAACAAGUUCUUCACCAGUGGAUCACUAGUCCAGCAAACCAAGCUGAUUGGAAGAGCACUCUCUAUCAAGGAAGCGAGACAAAGGGGGAAGGGGCUGGUUGUAGCACAUCAAUGGGGAAAAGGACAUAGAGGAAGCAUCGGAAGGGGGGCAAGAAAUGCAAAAAUGGCGCAUGGACGGCGUUUUUUUCCUCUCUUUUUUCAAGGAUGACAUGUAACAAAAGGCAUUACUAUUGUGUUUCAUGUCAGUCACUUUUUUUUAAUGCGUCUUUAGCUAAAGAAAUUGUAUGAUGUGUGCCCCUUGCCAGAACUACAAUGUUACAAUGUUACACCCAUUAAGUUCAAACCUCAAGAGUUGUGCA
This is a long non-coding RNA of Panicum virgatum (switchgrass), 402 nucleotides long. RefSeq lists it as uncharacterized. The record is from RefSeq and is a predicted model, not a curated record. Lineage: Eukaryota; Viridiplantae; Streptophyta; Magnoliopsida; Poales; Poaceae. The transcript has 2 exons.